GAUGAACGCUGGCGGCGUGCUUAACACAUGCAAGUCGAACGAGAAAUGUAGACGGAAGCCUUCGGGCGGAAGCCUGCAUUUCGAGGGGCGGCCGGAGGAGUAACGCGUGGGUAACCUGCCUCAUACAGGGGGAUAACAGUUGGAAACGACUGGUAAUACCGCAUCAGACCACAGCAUCGCAUGAUGCGGGGGUAAAAACUCCGGUGGUAUGAGAUGGACCCGCGUUCGAUUAGCCAGUUGGCGGGGUAACGGCCCACCAAAGCGACGAUCGAGAGCCGAUCUGAGAGGAUGACCGGCCACAUUGGGACUGAGACACGGCCCAAACUCCUACGGGAGGGAGCAGUGGGGAAUAUUGCACAAUGGGGGAAACCCUGAUGAAGCGACGCCGCGUGAGUGAAGAAGUACUUCGGUAUGUAAAGCUCUAUCAGCAGGGAAGAAAAUGACGGUACCUGAGUAAGAAGCCCCGGCUAACUACGUG
RNAcentral lists this ribosomal RNA (478 nucleotides) under uncultured bacterium. RNAcentral describes it as "partial 16S ribosomal RNA". It matches the Rfam family "Bacterial small subunit ribosomal RNA", at positions 28 to 507 of the family's 1533-position model. The record is from RNAcentral.